Molecule: long non-coding RNA, 1928 nt
Filed under: Helianthus annuus (common sunflower)
Lineage: Eukaryota; Viridiplantae; Streptophyta; Magnoliopsida; Asterales; Asteraceae
Description: hypothetical non coding rna
Source: RNAcentral
AAGAUCAGUUGUGAGAUUCAUACUCAGGUCAGUCACAUGCCCAAACCAAUAUGAACAAGAUUCACCGUUGUUUCUAUAACCAUUACAAGUUUAAUACAAUCUCAAAAUUAUAUAAACAAUGUAUAAAACUAAAUUUGUCAAGCACCAAAUAGAAUUUAAGCCCAAUGAAAAAAAGAAAAAAAAGGAAAAAACAGAAACAAAAAAUUAUGUCAAGCAUGUGUUGUUACGCGGAAGAAACGCAGGCCGGCAAACCACUUAUGGAUGAAAAGAAGGCGCCUCAUGAGAUGUUUUCAAAGCUUGAGCCAUAUAAAGGCAUGAAAAUCCUCCAGGUGUGAGCAGGUAAUCAGUUAUGUUGUUUUAACCUGACUGUUUUCUGUUGGUGGUUCAGAAGCGCACCCCUCCGCUUUAGCCGGUUCAGGCACUGGCUCAGCUAGACGUGGAGGAUUGUAGGAGCCUCCCAUUUAUCUUGAAAAGAUCUCCCUUCCGCAAGAAAUUCAAAGCACAGCCACAUGUAAGGUCAACAAAAAUGAUUUUUAGUAAACUUGACAUGUUGCGUCUUCAAUACAUUACAGAAGACAAAAGACAGUUUGACGAUGCUAAGCGGGAUAUAUGGAUAACAUAUCUAUUAUAUUUAGUCGCUCUAAAGGUAAGAAAAAUGCUGAAACACAUGACUUGCUGCCAACAUUCAAGGCAACUACUCGUCCUUGCCAAUCGAUGACUUGAACUACCUUUAGUACCUGAAGUUGCCUGGUGUUGUAAGCACAUAAGUUACUAAAAAAAGCACAAAUAUUAAAAAAAAUAUAUAUAUAUAUACCAAGUCUAUAUAAAAAAGAAAAGAAAUGAGUCGUAACAAUCAAAUUUGGUAUCGAAUAUAUGCAUAGAGUUGAAAAAAAAAAAAAACAAAACACAAUCCCUUCUAUGCACUAAUCAAAAUAUAAACGUAUGGACUGAUCACCAGUUUGACCUGGACAGAGAGGCUUAGAGGGAAGAUUUAUGAGUUUGCAAACUGCAAACAAAUUCCCUGAUAACAACUGAUAAUACAUAACAACAUUACCCAUGUUUCUUCUCACAAAACUCAAACUGAACUCAUUUUUGUAAUUUAGAGACAAUAAAUUCCAAAAAAAAAAACAGAUAAAUAAAGCAAUAAUGGAUACAAAUGUUGCUGACCUGAAUCCCCGUUCAUAUGCCACCGUCACAAGUACCAUGACGGUUCUUUUCUAGUAAGGUCAGUACAACCACAUAGCAGUUGUCUCUGCCGCCUACUGCGGAACCCGAGACGCCGUCACCACCAGAUCCACAAGAUCCGGUACCUUCAUUCGUUGGUGUAGUCACCGCGAGACUUACCUGCAGCCGCCGAAGGUUCUAAAAAGUCAGCGUCUCUGUGUUCACCAUUGUGUUCGCCGGAAGUCUGUGGUUAUCGCGAACCUCUAGCGCCGCUGUCGGGGUUUACGAUGGUUACCGACCCAUCCAUCUUCCGACACUAAUGCCAUCCACCAUCGGCAUCUUGGCCGGCUCCCAUCUUCCAUUCUCUCACUCCUCUGCCCAUUCUUCUCUCCAGCUCCCUCUUUCUCCCACAAAAAAAUGGGAUAACAUCAGAGGAACCCACAUCUGAUGAGAUGAAAUCUAAAUCUGCAAGACAAAAGCAUUGAAAAACCCUAAAGUAGCGUUCGUUUCAUGGAAUGGAAUGGAAUUGGGAAGCUUUUCUUUGUAAAAUUGAUCUUGGUUUGACCUCCAUAGAUGCUUUUCCACAUCAGUUACUAUGCUUUUCUGUAACCUGAAAAACCAUCAACAGUACACACAUUUCCAGAAAACAAAAACAGUAAUCAAUACAAAAAUAUAUACUCUCUCCGUAGAUCCAUUCACAAAACAUUAAGAAAAACACAAAACCAACAUAGAUCUGAAAGUACUAUAACAGAUCUGACAAAGAU